UACGCUUAAUAAAUGACCACCAACGGCACUGAAUCCAAAAUAAUACCCAAAUCAGCCAAGACCAAAACCGCCAAAUUAAUCCCUGUAGAAGAAGGAAAGAAAUAGGAAGAAAGCGUUACAGGUGGGUGGCCUGUCUUAGAGAUGUUGAGAGGGAAAGGAAAAGGAGGGUAAGACAGUUUCAGUGCAUUCGGUGACAAAAAGAGAAUUAGGGCUUUGUUAAUACAGAACAGGGAAAGAAAGAUGUUGAUGGUGGUGGAGACGAAAAGGAAACGGUGCGUUUUGGUGAGGUUGAUUAAAUUAAGGAAAAAAUAUAGAUUAGUCCCUAACUAUAGUUAAAAUUAAUAGAUGAGAGCUUUAAUUUUUAAAAUAACUCCAAUAUCCCAAAAUUAUAAUUUCAUUGACAUUUUAAUCAUUUCAUCCAGGACACAUGUAGCAAACCUAAAAAAUAACAUUAUCUUAUCGAGCCGAACUCGAUUUUUAAUCCUUACAUUCAAAAUAAAUGUAACAAAAGUCAAAUUCAAGGACAAUAUUACCUUAGAUGAAAUAUGAGAUGUCGAUGAAUUGGUAAUAAAUUGAGACAGGAACAUGGAAUGGAAGAACUGGCUUUCUAUUCAAAGGCUUGAGGGGCAAACAAGUAAUUUUAGUGGAAGUUAACGCAUAAGGGAGCAUGUACCAUUCUUCAUGGGUCUCCUUUUCUGACUCAGGAACCAUUAAGGCUUGGUUGGCGAAGUAUCCCUUCUUUCCUUCCUUCCUCUUCUCUUCCUAACCAUAAAAGACAAUAAAACCUUUAAACUCUGUUACUGCUAUUCCCAAGUCUCUCUAUAAAUUCUCUGGAAAAGGCAAAUUCCUGUUGAAUUCAAAUCUCUUGCUUUCUUUUUCUUCUUCUUACUCUUUCUAGAAAAUUUUCAAUUCUUCAGAUUCUUCUUGAAGUGCCCAAUUCCCAAUUUUGUUUUCAUUUUUUCUUAUCUUAAUUUUGGAGGCAAUAAUUUGUUGCUAAAGGAUUGACAUAAAGUGAAAAUGUUUAACGGAAUGAUGGAUCCUGAGUUAAUCAAACUCGCUCAGGAACAAAUGAGUCGCAUGUCUCCGGCCGAGUUAGCCAAGAUCCAACAACAGGUUUCUUUUUCUUUUCUAAUGCUUGCAAUUUCUGUCGAUUGUUUGUUUGGAAUUAAAUCAAUUCAGGGUUAAUUUGAUAGUUGUUGCUACCGUUUGAAUUAUUUUGUAUGUCAAAGCCUUCAUCUUCUAUUUCUUUUUUUUUUUGGUUUUUUCCCCUUUCUAUAUUAAGAUAUGAGUUAAUCAUAGAUAGUAGUUGGCUGCUGGAAUAAUGUAUAGCUUACUCAGGAAAGUGGAUUCCUAGUGAAGUGGUUCGUGGAAAUGUAAAUUACCGUGUUCAAUUAGAAAUAAUGGUUUCUUUGUGAUGUACUAUUCUUGUAUUUGGUUAGCCUAGGAAGAAAGCGUUACAGGUGGGUGGCCUGUCUUAGAGAUGUUGAGAGGGAAAGGAAAAGGAGGGUAAGACAGUUUCAGUGCAUUCGGUGACAAAAAGAGAAUUAGGGCUUUGUUAAUACAGAACAGGGAAAGAAAGAUGUUGAUGGUGGUGGAGACGAAAAGGAAAC
Molecule: long non-coding RNA, 1610 nt
Filed under: Jatropha curcas
Lineage: Eukaryota; Viridiplantae; Streptophyta; Magnoliopsida; Malpighiales; Euphorbiaceae
Description: long non-coding RNA (JCUR_LNC000699)
Source: RNAcentral